GUAAAGGUGGCCGAGUGGUCCAAGGCGCUGGUUUUAGGCACCAGUCUCUUCGGAGGCGCGGGUUCGAACCCCGUCCUUUACA
Allomyces macrogynus ATCC 38327 is the source of this 82-nucleotide transfer RNA. It matches the Rfam family "tRNA". Rfam says of the family: Transfer RNA (tRNA) molecules are approximately 80 nucleotides in length. Their secondary structure includes four short double-helical elements and three loops (D, anti-codon, and T loops). The record is from Rfam. NCBI's taxonomy places the organism in Eukaryota, Fungi, Blastocladiomycota, Blastocladiomycetes, Blastocladiales, Blastocladiaceae.